AGUGAACGCUGGCGGUAGGCCUAACACAUGCAAGUCGAACGGCAGCACAGUAAGAGCUUGCUCUUACGGGUGGCGAGUGGCGGACGGGUGAGGAAUACAUCGGAAUCUACUUUUUCGUGGGGGAUAACGUAGGGAAACUUACGCUAUACCGCAUACGACCUACGGGUGAAAGCAGGGGAUCUUCGGACCUUGCGCGAUUGAAUGAGCCGAUGUCGGAUUAGCUAGUUGGCGGGGUAAAGGCCCACCAAGGCGACGAUCCGUAGCUGGUCUGAGAGGAUGAUCAGCCACACUGGAACUGAGACACGGUCCAGACUCCUACGGGAGGCAGCAGUGGGGAAUAUUGGACAAUGGGCGCAAGCCUGAUCCAGCCAUACCGCGUGGGUGAAGAAGGCCUUCGGGUUGUAAAGCCCUUUUGUUGGGAAAGAAAAGCAGCAGGUUAAUACCCCGCUGUUCUGACGGUACCCAAAGGAUAAGCACCGGCUAACUUCGUG
Molecule: ribosomal RNA, 491 nt
Filed under: uncultured bacterium
Lineage: Bacteria
Description: partial 16S ribosomal RNA
Rfam family: Bacterial small subunit ribosomal RNA
Source: RNAcentral